GAUGAACGCUGGCGGCGUGCCUAAUACAUGCAAGUCGAACGCUUCACUUCGGUGAAGAGUGGCGAACGGGUGAGUAAUACAUAAGUAACCUGGCAUCUACAGGGGGAUAACUGAUGGAAACGUCAGAUAAGACCGCAUAGGUGUAGAGAUCGCAUGAACUCUGUAUGAAUAGUGCUACGGGAGUGGUAGAGGAUGGGCUUAUGGGGCAGUAGCUUGUUGGUAGGGUAACGGCCUACGAAGGCGACGAUGUGUAGCCGACCUGAGAGGGGGAACGGCCACACAGGGAGUGAGACACGACCCAGACACCUACGAGAGGCCGCAGUAGCGAAUGGGCGGCAAUGGGGGAAACACUGACCGAGCGGCGCAGCGUUAAGGAAGAAGUAAUUCGUUAGGUAAACUUCUGUCAUAGAGGAAGAACGGUGGAUAUAGGGAAUGAGAGCCAAGUGAGGGUACUCUAGAAGAAGGCCACGGCAAACUACGG
This 481-nucleotide ribosomal RNA is filed under the name uncultured bacterium. Its description in RNAcentral is "partial 16S ribosomal RNA". It matches the Rfam family "Bacterial small subunit ribosomal RNA", at positions 28 to 506 of the family's 1533-position model. The record is from RNAcentral.